AAUGUGUUUUGACUGAAUAUAACUGGAAGUUUCAGUGGGAGGAGUCCUGAUGUACCUGCAACAGAACAUCAACUAGCAUGGCUGCGGUAUCAAGAAAGUCUCAUUGGACCGAAGAAAUGGAGGAAAAAUUUGUGGAACAUUGGCAGGAGCACCACUGCCUAUCUGAUGUUUCCUCUGAACUCGCAAAGAGAAGAGUUGGAGAGAAAUUGCCAAUUCUCUUGGACAGUCAGCAUACUUGGCACCAAUCUCUUGGAGCGUGUACCUCUGAUUUUCAAGGAGGAGAGGAGUAAGGUGAAAUUUGGGCACAGUCAUACAGUCUGAAGAAACUGCAAAGAGCCUGUCACAGGAGUUUGCUGUCAUUGAUGAGGAUGCACCUUUGAGGGACAUGUAAGUAUUUUGCAUGAACAGUAUGGCAAGAUGCUACCAGAUACCUUGGUUUUUAAAGACCGGAUGCAGCAAAAUUUUUCAUGGCGGAGAAGGGAGAAAGAAGAUGGAAUGACUGGUGGAUAAAAACUCUCCAGUGUAAGUAAUAUCACAGAUAAUUUUAUGUCAAUUAUCAGCUUAAAAUACAUGUUUGAUUUCAGUGUAGCACAUGGAACAGCAGGUUAGAACUACAUUGUAAAGACCAGGGAGGCAUGAAAAUGAGAGGAGCAUUUUGGUCAUUUUAAUAUUUUUAUAUUGCUGAAAAGUUGUUGAAUAGUUUGCCCAAAAAGGAAAAUUCUGUCUUUUACUCACCCUAAUGUAAUUUCAAACCAACAUGACUCCUUUUUUUUUCUUUGUAACACAAAAGGUGAAUUUCUGGUGGUGUGACAUAACCACAGAAAAAGUAUUUGAAAUAAAAGGUGCAAUGUAUUCC
Molecule: long non-coding RNA, 856 nt
Organism: Myxocyprinus asiaticus (Chinese sucker)
Lineage: Eukaryota; Metazoa; Chordata; Actinopteri; Cypriniformes; Catostomidae
Exons: 3
Source: RefSeq, a predicted model, not a curated record